GUGACUCCCUUGGUUCUGUGAUCAUGGGCUGUAGUCUCUGGGUUUCUCAAGAACUGGGCAUGAGGGGACAGUGAUGUGUGCCCAGCAGCCUCCAGUGAAAGCCUCCACCAACCUCCUGGCCUGAGAGUCACGUCCAGGUGCUUCUUAUUUUUUAGCCAUGUGCCUUGUGCAGGUGUUCAAACAGCAUCCUCCUCUGUACAACGGUAACAGCACCACCCUCACAGGACAGUUGGGCAGCAAGAAUAAGUUCAACUACACGUUACAAAAAAACAUAAAAGAAUAGUGGCUUACGCAAGAGAGAGAUUUCUUUCUUUGAUGUAGAAGGAGUCCAGAGUUGAACAGUUACCCCCUUCUCUCAUAUGAGGAAAUGAAGACUCAGGUGGGGUGAGUGGUUUUCUCUGUAGCUCAGAAGUUCCCCCUGACCUGACUUCAGAUGUACAGACUCCACACCCAGUGCUCUUCUCCUCUCCGGCCAGCCACGCUGAGGGUGACCCCUUCACCUACUGUCCAUGGAGCUGGCAGCCUCUAGUUUGGACACUGACGCUGACUCUCACUAGAGGGAGCCACACGAAGCUGACCAGGCCAGCUGCCAAAAGGCUGGGAGGAGGCCGUCCACAGGGCGCCACACAUAAGGCGGUGAACGCACAAGUUCCCCCAGUGCUGGCUGCUGCUUGACACACAUGGAAAUGAAGGGGAAAAUUCCACAUAUCCAGACCACAGGACAUACGUUGGCAAUGGUUAGAGGUGUGGACUGAGGCUCUACAAGAACGGGCUGGCAUGAGCUGGGACCCCAUCAGACCUGUAGCUGGAGCUAUGUCAGUGGGUAAAUAUGUAAUUAUGUAAACUUGUAAUCAUAUAAGUGUGUAACUGUGUCAGCAUAUGUAAGUGCUUAGGAUAUAAAGUGUAAGGGACCAAUGGAUGGUG
Long non-coding RNA from Tupaia belangeri chinensis (Chinese tree shrew), 924 nucleotides. RefSeq lists it as uncharacterized. NCBI's taxonomy places the organism in Eukaryota, Metazoa, Chordata, Mammalia, Scandentia, Tupaiidae. The transcript is spliced from 3 exons. The record is from RefSeq and is a predicted model, not a curated record.